Molecule: ribosomal RNA, 468 nt
Filed under: uncultured bacterium
Lineage: Bacteria
Description: partial 16S ribosomal RNA
Rfam family: Bacterial small subunit ribosomal RNA
Source: RNAcentral
GACGAACGCUGGCGGCGUGCUUAACACAUGCAAGUCGAACGGAAAGACCCUGCUUUUGUGGGGUGCUCGAGUGGCGAACGGGUGAGUAACACGUGAGUAACCUGCCCUUGACUUUGGGAUAACUUCAGGAAACUGGGGCUAAUACCGGAUAGGAGCUCCUGCUGCAUGGUGGGGGUUGGAAAGUUUCGGCGGUUGGGGAUGGACUCGCGGCUUAUCAGCUUGUUGGUGGGGUAGUGGCUUACCAAGGCUUUGACGGGUAGCCGGCCUGAGAGGGUGACCGGCCACAUUGGGACUGAGAUACGGCCCAGACUCCUACGGGAGGCAGCAGUGGGGAAUAUUGCACAAUGGGCGGAAGCCUGAUGCAGCAACGCCGCGUGCGGGAUGACGGCCUUCGGGUUGUAAACCGCUUUCGCCUGUGACGAAGCGUGAGUGACGGUAAUGGGUAAAGAAGCGCCGGCUAACUACGUG